AUGGCUAGCCCAGCCCACCUCCUCUCUCCUUCAUCAUCGCUACAGGAGACGGGUAGGCCGUGGCAACCAUCCAUGGCUGCCAUGGAUUCGUGGAGGCCAUCCAGGCCCCCAAACCCCCCUACAACUGCGCCCCCGCGAAACCCUAGAUCGCCCUCCCUCUUUCCCCUUUGUUUCCCCAUCAACCUCCUCCCUCUUCUACUCGAUUUCGGGCUUGAGAGCUCCGUGGUGACCCAGCUUCUCGCCGUUGCUACCGCGGCCACCAUCGACGUUGGCGCUCGGGAUCACGUUCAGGAGGUCCAGCGUGGCCGUCUUCGUCCGUCCCGGGCACCAAAUCAAGCCGGGGUGGCCCAUACGUUCUACAUCGCCCUCGUCUCCUUGCCACGGCCGCCGCCAUCUCUUCUUCGGUUCGCUCCAUCCCGACCGUCCCCAGCCUCCCUGAGCUCGUCUGCGGCCUCUCCACACCGAGACCGACGCCGCGGCUAA
This 483-nucleotide ribosomal RNA is filed under the name Triticum aestivum (bread wheat). Its description in RNAcentral is "partial small subunit ribosomal RNA". The record is from RNAcentral. Lineage: Eukaryota; Viridiplantae; Streptophyta; Magnoliopsida; Poales; Poaceae.